CCAGCUGUCCCUUUAUGACCCAUGAUACAUACACACAUAUGUCCGUGAACACAUGAGCACACUGGCAGAGGGCACACACAUACAAACACAAAGGACGGCGGGAAGGGCAAGGGAGAGCAGGGAACAGCAGAGGAGAAGGGCAGAAGGGAUUUAGGGUUUUAGGGAUCAAUGGCGAUGGCAGGGAUGGCGACAGCGGCAAUGGUGGCAGUGGGGAUGGCGACGGCAGCAAUGGCGAUGGUGGGGAUGGCGACGGCGGCAGUGGUGAUGGCAGGGAUGGCAAUGGGGGGAACGGCAACGGUUGGUGAUGGAGGGGAUGGUGACAGCGUCGCCAUUGCCACCGUUGGUUGGGAUGGUCACCAUUGCCGCCGNNN
This 371-nucleotide long non-coding RNA is filed under the name Volvox carteri. Its description in RNAcentral is "long non-coding RNA (VCAR_LNC001409)". The record is from RNAcentral. Lineage: Eukaryota; Viridiplantae; Chlorophyta; Chlorophyceae; Chlamydomonadales; Volvocaceae.